UGAUCUGAGUUCAAACCGGCGUGAGCCAGGUUGGUUUCUAUCUUUAUUGAGUUGAAGUAUUUUAGUACGAAAGGACCAAAUACUUGAAUUAUAAUUUUUUAAGUUGAAUUUUAAUAAUUU
Molecule: ribosomal RNA, 120 nt
Filed under: Ligyra satyrus
Lineage: Eukaryota; Metazoa; Arthropoda; Insecta; Diptera; Bombyliidae
Description: partial 16S ribosomal RNA
Source: RNAcentral